UCUGGUGAUGAUGGCGAAGAGGUCACACCCGUUCCCAUACCGAACACGGAAGUUAAGCUCUUCAGCGCCGAUGGUAGUUGGGGGUUUCCCCCUG
Molecule: ribosomal RNA, 94 nt
Filed under: Bacillus altitudinis
Lineage: Bacteria; Bacillati; Bacillota; Bacilli; Caryophanales; Bacillaceae
Source: RNAcentral